CGGACCGGCGCACGGGUGAGUAACGCGUAUGCAACCUACCUAUCAGAGGGGAAUAACCCGGCGAAAGUCGGACUAAUACCGCAUAAAACAGGGGUUCCACAUGGAAAUAUUUGUUAAAGAAUUAUCGCUGAUAGAUGGGCAUGCGUUCCAUUAGAUAGUUGGUGAGGUAACGGCUCACCAAGUCCACGAUGGAUAGGGGUUCUGAGAGGAAGGUCCCCCACACUGGUACUGAGACACGGACCAG
RNAcentral lists this ribosomal RNA (244 nucleotides) under uncultured bacterium. RNAcentral's name for it is "partial 16S ribosomal RNA". It matches the Rfam family "Bacterial small subunit ribosomal RNA", at positions 91 to 334 of the family's 1533-position model. The record is from RNAcentral.